GAGAGUUUUGCAGUUCCAGGCCGGAAGGAGUGUAAUUAUGGGUUUUCUCGACCAAACCCCUCCUGGAAGUCAUGCUACCUUUUGGACCAAAAGUUAAGAUCAUGGUCUGAUGCAAAGGAGCUAUGCCUUCAAAAAGGUGGAACCCUAGCUUCUAUCAAAAACAAUGAACAGUUACAAUAUGCAUAUGAGAUGAUUCCAGACGGAUAUUUCUGGGUUGACGGGAACUAUGUGUCUGGAUUUCCCCAGAAUAACUGGUUGCCGGGUUCAAAGCCAGGUGGGACAAAUGCCGACUGCUUGACAUUGGUGAAAUUCCCUGGUUAGUAUCAGAAACAUAUUCUUGCUUAAAUAACAUUAAGUCAUAAGAGCUGGAGACUCACAAAAACAUUCUUCUCAACAGCGGGAAGAGGCUUUAGUGAUAUUGCCUGUUCCGAAAAAAUUGACUCUGCCUACGCUCUCUGUGAGUCCUAUGCUACCUACUGAAGUGUCCACUCAGAGAAUACAAAGGGAUGUUCUUUUUGUACUAUUGCACACACUAUUUAGACUUUACUUUAAGUGAAAGACACAGAGAAAAUUAUAAGGUAUAUUAUGGCUACCUAGAGCAUACCUACAUUUAUUCAGGUGUGACCUUUUAUUAAAUAGUUUCUUAUUUUGUAAUGGAAUUGUAAUAGUGUUAUGGAAGCUUUUUAAAGGCCCUGUGAAGUCUAAUGUUCUUUGUUUUUUUUGUUUUUUGUAAUAUUUCUACACUAUGAAGUGGAAACAACACACUGAAAUUGUGAC
This is a long non-coding RNA of Esox lucius (northern pike), 777 nucleotides long. The record is from Ensembl. NCBI's taxonomy places the organism in Eukaryota, Metazoa, Chordata, Actinopteri, Esociformes, Esocidae.